RNAcentral lists this ribosomal RNA (266 nucleotides) under Salmonella enterica subsp. enterica serovar Typhimurium. RNAcentral describes it as "partial 16S ribosomal RNA". It matches the Rfam family "Bacterial small subunit ribosomal RNA", at positions 837 to 1102 of the family's 1533-position model. Lineage: Bacteria; Pseudomonadati; Pseudomonadota; Gammaproteobacteria; Enterobacterales; Enterobacteriaceae. The record is from RNAcentral.
GCGUGGCUUCCGGAGCUAACGCGUUAAGUAGACCGCCUGGGGAGUACGGCCGCAAGGUUAAAACUCAAAUGAAUUGACGGGGGCCCGCACAAGCGGUGGAGCAUGUGGUUUAAUUCGAUGCAACGCGAAGAACCUUACCUGGUCUUGACAUCCACAGAAGAAUCCAGAGAUGGAUUGGUGCCUUCGGGAACUGUGAGACAGGUGCUGCAUGGCUGUCGUCAGCUCGUGUUGUGAAAUGUUGGGUUAAGUCCCGCAACGAGCGCAAC